Molecule: transfer RNA, 93 nt
Filed under: Brachybacterium faecium
Lineage: Bacteria; Bacillati; Actinomycetota; Actinomycetes; Micrococcales; Dermabacteraceae
Also listed under: 2 other names
Description: tRNA-Ser
Rfam family: tRNA
About the family: Transfer RNA (tRNA) molecules are approximately 80 nucleotides in length. Their secondary structure includes four short double-helical elements and three loops (D, anti-codon, and T loops). Further hydrogen bonds mediate the characteristic L-shaped molecular structure. tRNAs have two regions of fundamental functional importance: the anti-codon, which is responsible for specific mRNA codon recognition, and the 3' end, to which the tRNAs corresponding amino acid is attached (by aminoacyl-tRNA synthetases). tRNAs cope with the degeneracy of the genetic code in two manners: having more than one tRNA (with a specific anti-codon) for a particular amino acid; and 'wobble' base-pairing, i.e. permitting non-standard base-pairing at the 3rd anti-codon position.
Source: RNAcentral
GGAGACGUGGCAGAGCGGCCGAAUGCGCUCCCCUGCUAAGGGAGUAGGUGGUGAGAAACCGCCUCGGAGGUUCAAAUCCUCUCGUCUCCGCCC